This 253-nucleotide ribosomal RNA is filed under the name uncultured bacterium. Its description in RNAcentral is "partial 16S ribosomal RNA". It matches the Rfam family "Bacterial small subunit ribosomal RNA", at positions 524 to 776 of the family's 1533-position model. The record is from RNAcentral.
UACGAAGGGGGCUAGCGUUGUUCGGAAUCACUGGGCGUAAAGGGCGCGUAGGCGGCUAAUCAAGUCGGGGGUGAAAGCCUGUGGCUCAACCACAGAAUUGCCUUUGAUACUGUUUGGCUUGAGACCGGAAGAGGACAGCGGAACUGCGAGUGUAGAGGUGAAAUUCGUAGAUAUUCGCAAGAACACCAGUGGCGAAGGCGGCUGUCUGGUCCGGUUCUGACGCUGAGGCGCGAAAGCGUGGGGAGCAAACAGG